RNAcentral lists this non-coding RNA (46 nucleotides) under Xyrichtys novacula (pearly razorfish). It matches the Rfam family "Histone 3' UTR stem-loop". From Rfam's summary of the family: The mRNAs of metazoan histone genes lack a poly-A tail. Lineage: Eukaryota; Metazoa; Chordata; Actinopteri; Labriformes; Labridae. The record is from RNAcentral.
ACAAAGGUCCUUUUAAGGGCCACACACUUCAACAGAGAGUGAUUCU